This 519-nucleotide ribosomal RNA is filed under the name uncultured bacterium. Its description in RNAcentral is "partial 16S ribosomal RNA". It matches the Rfam family "Bacterial small subunit ribosomal RNA", at positions 28 to 523 of the family's 1533-position model. The record is from RNAcentral.
GACGAACGCUGGCGGCGUGCUUAACACAUGCAAGUCGAACGGACUACUUUGCUUCGGUAAGGUGGUUAGUGGCGAACGGGUGAGUAACGCGUAGACAACCUACCUCUUAGAUGGGGACAACAUCGCGAAAGCGGUGCUAAUACCGAAUGAAGUGACUUUCCUGCAUGGGAGAGAUACUAAAGGUGGCCUCUAUUUAUAAGCUACCACUGAGAGAUGGGUCUGCGUCUGAUUAGCUAGCUGGUGGGGUAAAGGCUCACCAAGGCGACGAUCAGUAGCUGGUCUGAGAGGACGACCAGCCACACUGGGACUGAGACACGGCCCAGACUCCUACGGGAGGCAGCAGUAGGGAAUCUUCCACAAUGGACGAAAGUCUGAUGGAGCAACGCCGCGUGAGUGAAGAAGGUUUUCGGAUCGUAAAACUCUGUUGUCAGAGAAGAACGUGUGCGAGAGUAACUGCUCGUGCAGUGACGGUAUCUGGCCAGAAAGCCACGGCUAACUACGUGCCAGCCGCCGCCGUAA